GGAGGGGUGGCAGAGUGGUCGAAUGCACCGGUCUUGAAAACCGGAGUCCGGUAACCCUGGACCGCGGGUUCGAAUCCCGCCCCCUCCGC
RNAcentral lists this transfer RNA (89 nucleotides) under uncultured Conexibacteraceae bacterium. RNAcentral's name for it is "tRNA-Ser". It matches the Rfam family "tRNA". From Rfam's summary of the family: Transfer RNA (tRNA) molecules are approximately 80 nucleotides in length. The record is from RNAcentral. Lineage: Bacteria; Bacillati; Actinomycetota; Thermoleophilia; Solirubrobacterales; Conexibacteraceae.